This 454-nucleotide long non-coding RNA is filed under the name Homo sapiens (human). RNAcentral describes it as "non-protein coding lnc-HSPA8-2:1". The record is from RNAcentral. Lineage: Eukaryota; Metazoa; Chordata; Mammalia; Primates; Hominidae.
UGAACCCGGCUCCCCAAGAAUAUGAAAGUGAGGACGACUCUUACGAAGUGUUGGAUUUAACUGAGUAUGCGCGAAGACACCAGUGGUGGAAUCCAGUGUUUGGCCACAGUUCGGGAUCUAUGGUGGAAAAAUACGCAGUAGCUACCCAGAUUGUAAUGGGUGGUGUUCCUGGCUGGUUUGCAGGAUUUUUGUUCCAGAAAGUUUGAAAACUUGCAGCAACUGCAGUAGGUGGUGACUUUCUUGCCGUCAGAUUGCUAGUCAUAGUGGCUACGUGCAGAUUAACUGGAAGAGAGUUGAAAAAGAUUCAAACAAAGCAAAAAGGCAGAUGAAGAAACGAGCGAACAAAGCAGCACCGGAAAUCAACAAUUUAAUUGAAGAAGCAAUAGAAUUUAUCAAGCAGCACAUUGUGAUACCCGGUAGAUUUGUGGGAGGCUUUUUGCUCGGACUUGCAUCU